RNAcentral lists this ribosomal RNA (67 nucleotides) under Histoplasma capsulatum. Its description in RNAcentral is "partial 18S rRNA". Lineage: Eukaryota; Fungi; Ascomycota; Eurotiomycetes; Onygenales; Ajellomycetaceae. The record is from RNAcentral.
GGGGGUUCCGGCCCGGGGGCUGCGGCCGCCGGGUCUGAAAGUUAGCUACCGGUUGAUUCUGCCGGAU